This 301-nucleotide ribosomal RNA is filed under the name uncultured bacterium. Its description in RNAcentral is "partial 16S ribosomal RNA". It matches the Rfam family "Bacterial small subunit ribosomal RNA", at positions 509 to 807 of the family's 1533-position model. The record is from RNAcentral.
CAGCAGCCGCGGUAAUACGGAGGGUGCAAGCGUUAAUCGGAAUUACUGGGCGUAAAGCGCACGCAGGCGGUCUGACAAGUCAGAUGUGAAAUCCCCGGGCUUAACCUGGGAACUGCAUUUGAAACUGUCAGGCUGGAGUCUUGUAGAGGGGGGUAGAAUUCCAGGUGUAGCGGUGAAAUGCGUAGAGAUCUGGAGGAAUACCGGUGGCGAAGGCGGCCCCCUGGACAAAGACUGACGCUCAGGUGCGAAAGCGUGGGGAGCAAACAGGAUUAGAUACCCGUGUAGUCCCUGUCUCUUAUAC